Non-coding RNA from Coprinopsis sp. MPI-PUGE-AT-0042, 94 nucleotides. NCBI's taxonomy places the organism in Eukaryota, Fungi, Basidiomycota, Agaricomycetes, Agaricales, Psathyrellaceae. The record is from the annotation of a GenBank genome assembly.
GCCGUCGUAGCACAAUGGUAGUGCGUUGCUUUCCUAUCUCGACUUCAAAGUCGGAAUGAGGCAGAGGCUGUGGGUUCGAGUCCCACCGUCGGUU